GUGGGGAAUAUUGCACAAUGGGCGAAAGCCUGAUGCAGCAACGCCGCGUGGGUGAUGAAGGUUUUCGGAUCGUAAAGCCCUGUCUUUUGGGACGAUAAUGACGGUACCAAAGGAGGAAGCCACGGCUAACUACGUGCCAGCAGCCGCGGUAAUACGUAGGUGGCAAGCGUUGUCCGGAUUUACUGGGCGUAAAGGGAGCGUAGGCGGACCUUUAAGUGAGAUGUGAAAUACCCGAGCUCAACUUGGGUGCUGCAUUUCAAACUGGAGGUCUAGAGUGUCGGAGAGGUAAGUGGAAUUCCUAGUGUAGCGGUGAAAUGCGUAGAGAUUAGGAAGAACCCCGGUGGCGAAGGCGACUUACUGGACGAUAACUGACGCUGAGGCUCGAAAGCGUGGGGAGCAAACAGGAUUAGAAACCCCUGUAGUCC
Molecule: ribosomal RNA, 425 nt
Filed under: uncultured bacterium
Lineage: Bacteria
Description: bacterial SSU rRNA
Rfam family: Bacterial small subunit ribosomal RNA
Source: RNAcentral